RNAcentral lists this ribosomal RNA (497 nucleotides) under uncultured bacterium. RNAcentral's name for it is "partial 16S ribosomal RNA". It matches the Rfam family "Bacterial small subunit ribosomal RNA", at positions 28 to 507 of the family's 1533-position model. The record is from RNAcentral.
GAUGAACGCUGGCGGCGUGCCUAAUACAUGCAAGUCGAGCGAACAGACGAGGAGCUUGCUCCUCUGACGUUGGCGGCGGACGGGUGAGUAACACGUGGAUAACCUACCUAUAAGACUGGGAUAACUUCGGGAAACCGGAGCUAAUACCGGAUAAUAUAUUGAACCGCAUGGUUCAAUAGUGAAAGACGGUUUUGCUGUCACUUAUAGAUGGAUCCGCGCCGCAUUAGCUAGUUGGUAAGGUAACGGCUUACCAAGGCAACGAUGCGUAGCCGACCUGAGAGGGUGGUCGCCCACCCGAGAACUGGAACGGGCCCAAGACGCCUGCGGGAGGCGCAAGGGGGGAUUCUUCCGGAAUGGGGGAAGGCCGGACGGAGCAACGCCGGGGGAGUAAUAAGGGUCUUCGGAUCGAAAAACUCUUUUAUUAGGGAAAAAAAAAUGGGUAAGUAACUAUGCACGUCUGGACGGUACCUAAUAAGAAAGCCACGGCAAACUACGGG